Molecule: ribosomal RNA, 189 nt
Filed under: Aeromonas salmonicida subsp. salmonicida
Lineage: Bacteria; Pseudomonadati; Pseudomonadota; Gammaproteobacteria; Aeromonadales; Aeromonadaceae
Description: partial 16S ribosomal RNA
Rfam family: Bacterial small subunit ribosomal RNA
Source: RNAcentral
ACUUAAAUUGAAGAGUUUGAUCAUGGCUCAGAUUGAACGCUGGCGGCAGGCCUAACACAUGCAAGUCGAGCGGCAGCGGGAAAGUAGCUUGCUACUUUUGCCGGCGAGCGGCGGACGGGUGAGUAAUGCCUGGGGAUCUGCCYAGUCGAGGGGGAUAACAGUUGGAAACGACUGCUAAUACCGCAUACG